CUUUCUUUCUGUUACACACAACAGAGGUUGAGUGUAUACGAUUUACUGACCGUUGCCCCCCCCCCCCAUAGCGGUGUCUUCCGUCAGAGACCAGCGCCCCUCGGUUCCGCCGCCCCCCACCACAGAGGUGACGGACGAGGAGCUGGUCCGGAUGGUCACUGAUGUAGAAAUGGCUGAUGCCUGAAGGAUAAAGGUAGGUUUAUCAGGUGAUGUAGCCGUCUUUGUAGGUGGUAGACGCGCCGUCCUCUCUCACGUGGUGGUAAUGUGGAUUUGAUUAAACUCCCAGUCUAGCAAACCUCGCCUUGUAACUAACAGUCGCCUUGUAGCACUAAACCAUUUUAUCUAAUCAACAGCAUGCUGCACGUCAUGAAUGCUCAGACUCACUUAGUCUCGCUUGCCCGUGUGUUGCCCCGUCACUCUCAUUGUGCUGAUGCCAUUUGGUUGUGCGUGACCGUGUCUGAAGCUGGCGUACAGGUCCUUCAGGCCCUCCCGCUCCCGCUGGUGACGCCUCCGACUCCACCUCCCCCGGCACCGUCCUCCACCCCACCACCACCACCACCACCACCACCACCACCACCACCACCACCACCACCACCACAAGUUGCGGCUGCUCCACCGACGGUCGGGCUUCCUGCUCGGGCUCCGGCGCAGACCAGGGUGGAGCCUCGUGGCGUCUCCGUGGAGGAGACGCCGUGCGGGGAGGCCACCCUGGCGCCGGAGCCGAAGAAGAAGAGGAGGAAGACGACGACGACGGGCGACGUGGAGCAGCCGGCAACGCCCGCUCCUGCUCGGGCUGAGACCCGGUUGCCUGAGGGCUGGCGGACAGCCCUCACCGGGGCAGAGCAGGAGUGGAUCGGCCGGGCGCUGUUCCAGCAGACCAGCGGGGGGUCCCUCAAGCUAACCACGGACCUCAAGCUGUGGUGGGACCCCCCCCAGCCCCGGCUGAACUAUACUCAGCCACCCGCCUCGGCGGCUGCCUUCUUCGCGUGUCGGUUGUUCCUCUGGGCGCCCCUGCACAUGUGGGGUCCCCGGCCGACAUGCUGCCAGAAACAUCUCACCAAGUGUGGGAUGUACAAGACCAUCCGGAAGGUCUUGGACAUCGACGGCUGGUACUUGAUGGCCACCGAGUACCUGGAGUGCCGUCGGUGUCGGAGGAAGGUAGCCGCCUGGUCGCAGGAGGUCGUGAGGCAGCUGGGAGAGGGGCAUCGCGCCCUCUUCCCGGCGAUCCUCACCUACAAGCUUGCCUGCGACCGGCGGGUCAUCAUCCAGCUGCGUGAGCGUACUCGGGGGGGAACAGCGCCACGCAGCUGCAAAAAAAACUCUGUGAGGCACACACAGAGGCCUGGAUGCGGCGGUCCAUACACUACCUCAGCGUCAUGGAGCCCUUCACGUCGACGGGUGUCGUGCGCCAGUGCACCCCACCGCCGAAACCAUCGCCAGACGUGCCGCAGUACGGCUGGCUGUUGGUGGUGUACUGCCACGACAUCCUGUCUCGCCUGGAGGACGUGAAGGCCCGGGGUCACCUCAGUCUUCGGAUCCAUCUUGAAGAUGGAUUCGACCAAGAAGGUGACCCGGAAGCUCGCCGGUGCCGCCGCCCAUACCGCAGCCUGGGCGACCAACGUGGGCAACGAGCACGGGCAGGUGCUAAUGUCCGUGCUCACGGCCACCGAGGGGGGUGGCCUGUUGCCCAUGGCCGCGGGGUUAAUGCGGCGGUACCGGGACGCUGGGGUAGCGCAGCCUCGCGUCCUCUACGUCGACCGGGACUGCUGUUCGUCCCACGGGGGGUCCAAGGCAGCUGCUGCGUUCCAGGAGUGGGACAAGCUGGUGGUCCGGUUGGACAUUUGGCACCUGAUGCGACGCUACGCGUCAGGUGUCACAACCGAGAGCCACCAGCUCUACAAGCCCUUCCUGCAGCAGCUGUCCGCCAGUAUCUUCCUGUGGGACCCAGAGGACACAGCCCGGUUGCUCAACGCCAAGAGGAGGACGCUAGAGGCGCAGGGGAUGACCUUCUCGUCCGAAGCCGGAGUGUGGAGGCACGUCAGCCGCAGGGAGAUGGCUCUCCAUUGCCGUCGCCGCACGCGUGGAGCUGCGGCGACCGAGCGGCUGAUUGAUGACCUCCUGCAAACCUUCGGCGGUGCCAACGGGCGAGACACCAUGGGGAUUCCCCUGCUGGACCGAGACCGCAUCCAGGCAAUCCGUGCGGAGCAGCGACGGCACCUCGAGUGCAUCCAGGACCCGCCGGGCGUGGAGCUGUACACGGAGACAGGCAGGCUGACC
Gadus morhua (Atlantic cod) is the source of this 2277-nucleotide long non-coding RNA. The record is from Ensembl. NCBI's taxonomy places the organism in Eukaryota, Metazoa, Chordata, Actinopteri, Gadiformes, Gadidae.